AAAUUGAAGAGUUUGAUCAUGGCUCAGAUUGAACGCUGGCGGCAGGCCUAACACAUGCAAGUCGAGCGGUAGCACAGAGAGCUUGCUCUCGGGUGACGAGCGGCGGACGGGUGAGUAAUGUCUGGGAAACUGCCUGAUGGAGGGGGAUAACUACUGGAAACGGUAGCUAAUACCGCAUAACGUCGCAAGACCAAAGUGGGGACCUUCGGGCCUCAUGCCAUCAGAUGUGCCCAGAUGGGAUUAGCUAGUAGGUGGGGUAACGGCUCACCUAGGCGACGAUCCCUAGCUGGUCUGAGAGGAUGACCAGCCACACUGGAACUGAGACACGGUCCAGACUCCUACGGGAGGCAGCAGUGGGGAAUAUUGCACAAUGGGCGCAAGCCUGAUGCAGCCAUGCCGCGUGUGUGAAGAAGGCCUUCGGGUUGUAAAGCACUUUCAGCGGGGAGGAAGGCGUUAAGGUUAAUAACCUUGGCGAUUGACGUUACCCGCAGAAGAAGCACCGGCUAACUCCGUGCCAGCAGCCGCGGUAAUACGGAGGGUGCAAGCGUUAAUCGGAAUUACUGGGCGUAAAGCGCACGCAGGCGGUCUGUCAAGUCGGAUGUGAAAUCCCCGGGCUCAACCUGGGAACUGCAUUCGAAACUGGCAGGCUAGAGUCUUGUAGAGGGGGGUAGAAUUCCAGGUGUAGCGGUGAAAUGCGUAGAGAUCUGGAGGAAUACCGGUGGCGAAGGCGGCCCCCUGGACAAAGACUGACGCUCAGGUGCGAAAGCGUGGGGAGCAAACAGGAUUAGAUACCCUGGUAGUCCACGCCGUAAACGAUGUCGAUUUGGAGGUUGUGCCCUUGAGGCGUGGCUUCCGGAGCUAACGCGUUAAAUCGACCGCCUGGGGAGUACGGCCGCAAGGUUAAAACUCAAAUGAAUUGACGGGGGCCCGCACAAGCGGUGGAGCAUGUGGUUUAAUUCGAUGCAACGCGAAGAACCUUACCUGGUCUUGACAUCCACAGAACUUUCCAGAGAUGGAUUGGUGCCUUCGGGAACUGUGAGACAGGUGCUGCAUGGCUGUCGUCAGCUCGUGUUGUGAAAUGUUGGGUUAAGUCCCGCAACGAGCGCAACCCUUAUCCUUUGUUGCCAGCGGUCCGGCCGGGAACUCAAAGGAGACUGCCAGUGAUAAACUGGAGGAAGGUGGGGAUGACGUCAAGUCAUCAUGGCCCUUACGACCAGGGCUACACACGUGCUACAAUGGCAUAUACAAAGAGAAGCGACCUCGCGAGAGCAAGCGGACCUCAUAAAGUAUGUCGUAGUCCGGAUUGGAGUCUGCAACUCGACUCCAUGAAGUCGGAAUCGCUAGUAAUCGUAGAUCAGAAUGCUACGGUGAAUACGUUCCCGGGCCUUGUACACACCGCCCGUCACACCAUGGGAGUGGGUUGCAAAAGAAGUAGGUAGCUUAACCUUCGGGAGGGCGCUUACCACUUUGUGAUUCAUGACUGGGGUGAAGUCGUAACAAGGUAACCGUAGGGGAACCUGCGGUUGGAUCACCUCCUUACCUUAAAGAA
Molecule: ribosomal RNA, 1549 nt
Filed under: Klebsiella pneumoniae
Lineage: Bacteria; Pseudomonadati; Pseudomonadota; Gammaproteobacteria; Enterobacterales; Enterobacteriaceae
Description: bacterial SSU rRNA
Rfam family: Bacterial small subunit ribosomal RNA
Source: RNAcentral